GCUUCUUGCUGCUUCCCGACUUUCCCUCCAUCUAUGACUCUGAUGUCAUGGGGAAUUUCCUAUGAUCAUUUGAUGAGGAAGAAGGGGACAGUGCCGGAUUUCAGACGAACUAGAGAACAGGCCGCCUAUUGUCUUGAGACCUCAGCAGACACUGAGAAAAAGAGGGCAGGAAGAGUCCCUACUGUGCAAAUGUGCCUUGCAGCUGGUGGCAUUCUCUGCUGACAGAUCCUGCACAGAUGUUCCUUGAAGUGCUGGCAGCAUAUUGAUGUACUUGACUGAUUUCAUCAAUCCCUGUGUUGAACUAUGGGGCACUGAAAGCCAGGGUCUGAGUCAGGUGAAAAAACAAACCUGAAGAUACAAGAAUGAAAACCAACUGACUUAGGGAGGAACUAACUCCCAUCCAGCUCAUGCUUCCACACAGAAGGACUUUCUCCCAGGAGUAGCUAACCUGACCUAUCACCUUUGAUUUUCGUUAUCCUCCUGUGCAAUAGCCAUAUGGAGAGUUUGGAAGAAGGAGCCAGGUAUCCGCAGCUCAAGCUUCUGUCUCCAGAGAGGAAAUAUGGUCUGCUCUUCUGACUAUAGGGUACUUGCUGUCAUGCUGUCUUCAGGGACUGGAUUCAGGAGGAAGUGGCAUGAUUAGUUCAACUCAAACAUCUAUUAACAAUCCUAACUGGUGAUAAGUAAAGCCAAGUCCUUUGUUAUAGUACCAAAGCU
Molecule: long non-coding RNA, 714 nt
Filed under: Cricetulus griseus (Chinese hamster)
Lineage: Eukaryota; Metazoa; Chordata; Mammalia; Rodentia; Cricetidae
Description: lncRNA (ENSCGRG00000026147.1)
Source: RNAcentral